RNAcentral lists this ribosomal RNA (509 nucleotides) under uncultured bacterium. RNAcentral's name for it is "bacterial SSU rRNA". It matches the Rfam family "Bacterial small subunit ribosomal RNA", at positions 355 to 879 of the family's 1533-position model. The record is from RNAcentral.
UGAGGAAUAUUGAGCAAUGGGCGCAAGCCUGACUCAGCAACGCCGCGUGGAUGACGAAGGCCUUCGGGUUGUAAAAUCCUUUUCUGCGGGAAGAUAAUGACGGUACCGCAGGAAUAAGUUCCGGCUAACUACGUGCCAGCAGCCGCGGUAAAACGUAGGGGACAAGCGUUAUCCGGAUUUACUGGGCGUAAAGCGCCCGUAGGCGGCCUGUCAAGUUGGAUGUGAAAGCUCCUGGCUUAACUGGGAGAGGUCAUUCAAAACUGACAGGCUAGAGGAUGGAAGAGGAGAGCGGAAUUCCCGGUGUAGUGGUGGAAUGCGUAGAGAUCGGGAGGAACACCAGUGGCGAAAGCGGCUCUCUGGUCCGUACCUGACGCUGAGGGGCGAAAGCGUGGGGAGCGAACGGGAUUAGAUACCCCGGUAGUCCACGCUGUAAACGAUGGAUACUAGGUGUAGGCGGUCAUUAACCCCGUCUGUGCCGCAGCCAACGCGUUAAGUAUCCCGCCUGGGGA